This 9386-nucleotide long non-coding RNA is filed under the name Malus domestica (apple). Its description in RNAcentral is "long non-coding RNA (MDOM_LNC020436)". Lineage: Eukaryota; Viridiplantae; Streptophyta; Magnoliopsida; Rosales; Rosaceae. The record is from RNAcentral.
GAUGCUAGAUUAUGAGGGAGUUUCACCUAAUAGUUACAACCUUAUAAUCACAAGUAGUGAAGAUCGCUUGAAAUCGAUCGCGUUGAAUGAAUUCUUAGCAUAAGUUUUCAUGCAAUUCAUAGUAACAAAUGCUUCGUCAAUGCUUAUGUUUUUCAUAGAACGUAAUGAUUCUUACUUGUAUCUCUAUUAUGCAAUUCAUGUAGGGAACUUGUAGGGAAUGUUUUGGGUUGUCGUAUGCAAUCAUCCAACUUAAUAACUUGUGGAAAAACUGAGGGUUAAUUAGUGCAAUUCACGGUUAACUUGGGGCGUUGAGUAUUCAUAGUUUAUCGGAAGAACAACUGAAAAAUCGUUCUGUUUGCAAGUGUGACAUGUGUGGAGAAGAACCUCCUAACUAGCCUUUUAACCAUCUAUUUCACCAAAAUCGUUUUUACAAUCUGUGUUAAUUAAAGUUUCUGUUUUGUUUUCAAUUUUCGUCCAAAACAAUUCCCCCUUUAUUUUGAAGUCUUAGAUUAGUUAGAAAGUGUUUUGAUUUGUGUUUCUAGGUGUUUUGAUUCAAGUUUUCAACCAAUUUCGUCCAGAUUAGUGUAAGUGCUCAAAACUGCCCAGAAAGUGGUUUUUAGGCAGUUUUGAGUCUUCUAGUUGCUGUUUUGGUUUUUAGGUUUGUUUAAGUGUUUUAACUUUUAGUUUUGCAUUCUUUGAGUCUAGUUUAGUGUUUUUAACUUUGUUUUUUAGUGUUUAAGUCAGUUUCCAAGCGUUUAGCAAUCCCUCCUAAUCCCCGGUCUAGAACGAUCCCUACUUACAUCUUUGCUACAAUUUGACAAAAAGAGGGUUUAAUUUGUGUGCUUAUCUAUUUCGCAUCAAAUUUUUGGCGCCGUUGCCGGGGAUUAGCAAAUUUGCUAAUCCCUUGGAUUGUUUUUGUUUUUUUUAUUAAACUUUGUUUCUGACUUUGUUUAAGUUUCUGACCUAAUUUUGUUUCUUGUUUCUUAGGUACUAAUGUAUGACUAGAAGCUCUCAACCGAUUCGUGCAAACAUCUUGGAUUUUGACGACGAUUUUGAGAGGAAGUUAAGAAGAGCUAGAAACCAGCAAGAACACCAUCCACCCAAUUCCGAAUCUGACCUUGAAGAAAACGUCCAAGAAGAGGAGGAAGAAGCCACGGCAGGGAUAUUUGAAGAAGUCCAAGGCAUGGCCAUGGACAAUCGUACACUCAAGGAGCUUUCCGCCUCGGGUUUGGAUAAUGCCGCACCCUUGUGCAUCCAAUACCCCGUGGCUGCCCAAGGUAAGACGGAUGAGUUUGAAUUAAAGUCAAGUUUGCUUCAUCAUAUUCCUAAAUACCAUGGCUUGUCCAUGGAAGAUCCUAACAAACAUUUGAAAGAAUUUGAAGUAGUUUGCUCUAGUAUGACUCCCGUCAAUGUUGACGGAAAUAUUUUGAAGAUGAAGGCUUUUCCAUUCUCUUUGAUGGAUAAAGCCAAGGAUUGGUUAUAUGAGUUAGCUCCCGGAACUGUCACAUCGUGGGAAAGUAUGAAGAGAGCGUUCUUGGAGAAGUUCUUUCCAACUUCUCGCAUCAUCCUCCUCCGCAAAAAGAUAAGCGGAAUUCAGCAAGAAGAAGGUGAGUCUUUUCCUACAUAUUAUGAACGAUUUAAAUCACUUGUUGCUUCUUGUCCACAGCAUCAGAUGAAGGAGGAAUUGCUCUUGCAAUAUUUCUACGAGGGCCUCCUACCUCUAGAACGUCAAAUGCUUGAUGCUUCAGCGGGCGGAGCAUUGGUGGAUAAAACACCCAUGGCUGCCAAGGUCUUGAUUGCUAAUAGAGCGUUGAACGCUCAACAGUACGAGGGUGUAGGCCAAAGAGGACCCCCACGGCACCAAGUACAUGAGGUAAGUUCGACUUCCGAUCUUCAUUCACAAUUGGCUAAUCUUACUUCUCUUGUGUCUCAGAUGGCCGAGGGCAUGAAGAUGCAAGGAACAACUGUAUGUGGCGUAUGUUCCAUCCAAGGACAUGUCUCUGAAAAAUGUCCACAGUUGAUUGAAAAUGGUGGAUGGGAAAGCGCCCAUGCAAUUGGGUUUCAAGGUCAAAACCAACCAAGGAACGAUCCAUAUUCAAACACAUAUAAUCCCGGUUGGAGAGACCACCCAAAUUUCAAGUGGAGGGAUCCCCAGCAACCUCAGAACCAAGGAGGCUUUAGGCAACAACCCCCGGGGUUCUUUCCCAAAACCUACGGCCCACCCCAAAAUCAAGCCCAAUCCGGCCCAAAUGCCUCAGGUACGUGUCUUGACAAUGAUGCACUUCUUAAGAUACUAACUAAGUUGUCUAAUGGACAGGAAGAUCAAGCUAAGGCUAUGCAAAUCCAAGACAAAAGGGUGGAUCAACUUGAGAAAACAAAUUGGGCAGAUUGCCGAGUUUGUUGGGCAGUUUAGAGAACAAGGAAAGCUUCCUAGUUCAACCAUUGCGAAUCCGAAAGGAGGCUUUGAAACCGCAAAUGCAAUCAUGCUAAGGAGUGGAAAAGAAGUUGGGGCAGGUUCUACACCACCAAAAUCAGGUCCCAAAGAGGAUGAAAUGUUGAAAUCUGAAGAGGAGACACCAAGUCCACUCACGGCAAAGGUAGCACCACCUUUGCCGCAAGCACCCAUGGUCCCUAAGCCAUCCAAUCCUUCCACCCUAGGUAAGAUGAGUCCAAGUUUGGUUAAUGCUAACAUUAUUCCACCCAAUGUGCCAUUUCCUAGCAGAUUUUUGCAAUCCAAGAAUGAAGAGGAGGAAAAAGAUGUGCUAGAGACAUUUAGGAAGGUUCAAGUUAACAUACCUCUCUUGGAUGCAAUCAAGCAAAUCCCGAAGUAUGCCAAGUGUUUAAAGAAGCUUUGUACGACAAAGAAACGUACUCGGGAGAAAGAAGUGGUACAUGUAAGCGAGAAUGUCUCCGCCAUUUUGCAACGUAAACUACCCCCCAAAUGCAAAGAUCCGGGGAGCUUUACAAUUCCGUGUGUCAUUGGUAAUACCCGUUUCAAAUCUGCCAUGCUAGAUUUAGGAGCAUCUAUUAAUGUUAUGCCAUAUUCUGUUUAUGCAUCUAUGAAUCUAGGAGCACUUAAAAUGAUGGGGUAAUAAUACAAUUGGCCGAUAGAUCUAACGCCUAUCCAAAGGGAGUUUUGGAAGAUGUUCUUGUGCAGGUUAAUCAUUUGGUCUUCCCAGCGGAUUUCUAUGUCCUCGAAAUGGAUGAAUCGGACCAUGCCCCUUCGUUGCCCAUCCUCCUUGGAAGGCCAUUUAUGAAAACGGCUCAAACGAAGAUUGAUGUGGCCAAAGGAUUAGUAACUAUGGCAUUUGGUGGUGACAUGAUUAGUUUUAAAAUUUCUGAAUCCAUUGAGACUCCUAAUGUUGUUCAUUCUUGUUGUGCCAUUGAUAAACUUGAAAAGAUAGGCCCGGACCGUUCAGCACCAAGCACAAAGGAUGCGUCAAGAACCAUGCAAGACGAGGGAAUUGGAGUGGAGUACAAGGCCCAUACGGCCACUGCCCUCAAAGUGCUCACAGUGGCCGAAGGCACCAUGGGGAAGAACGUGUACCUUGCUGCCACUUCAUCACAUCACAUAGGUAAGCCACCUAAUCCAAUCCAAUUCCCAUUAAAGUUGAUAGGUGGUUCCCUUCUAUGGUGCAGGUACCCAAGCAAAUCCCCGAUGGUGGGCGCAUGUACAUGAACCUUAGGCAACACAACGCACCCAUCAACAAACAUCACUAUCCAUUACCGUUCAAAGAUGCAAUGUAUGAGAGUGCCGUGGGCUCCAAUGGGGCAUGAUUGUGCUUUUCGUCCGGCUGUACGACGUUAAAGAAAGCGCUACUUGGGAGGCAACCCAUGCAAUGCAACAAAGGAAGACCAAGGAAUUACUCCAAUUCCAGAUUUGCGUUCCUAAACUCUUCCCUUUGUUAUUUAUUUCGAAUCUGCCUAUUUAGUUGUUUUAGUUGCUGUUUGUGUGUUUCUUUUUGUUUAGUGUGAUUUUAUGCUUGAAACAUUGAGGACAAUGUUUGAUUUAAGUGUGGGGGGGUAACUAAGUGUUCUAGAUGCAAAUUCGUGGGAUUUUAUCACCCUAAAGUUGAAGACUUGUUCCUUGCUGUUUUUAAGUGUUUUUGAGCAGUUUUGGUGUGUUUUAGUGUGUGUUAAUGCAAAAAUCCGAAAAUUACAUAAAAAUUUUAAAAAUUUGUUUUAAAAACCCAAAAAGAGUUGUUUUUGUGUGUUUGUUUGUGUCUUAGGGUACCUUCCAACACAAUGAUGAGGAUUCGGUUUGUAAUUACAUGGCUGUUAAAGAGAGUGAUUAACAUGGAUGAAAGUUUGAUUUACUCUUUGUUAUGCUUAGUUGUGGUUAUAACUUAUGAAUUCACAUGCAAUCAUAAAAGAAAAAAUCAGUUUUUGUAACAUGCUUGAAGGAAGGAACUCAAACUAACGCUACAACCUUGUGAGACUUGAGCCUAAACGUUUAUGUGGAGAGUUAAAAUCUGUGCAUUCUUUGUUUUCUAAGUCGUUGCAUGAUCUCAUUAUUCCUUGCUUGGUUGCUACUUAGAUGGCGUUUCAUCAUUUAGUUCCAAAUGCUAGAACUCAUGCCCAUUUCAUUCAAAGCAUGUUAUUGAUUUGCAUAACACAUAUUCAAGAUGAAGUUGUGUAGUGACCACCACCUUAGCCAAAAAGCCGUGUGCCCUAUGUCAUUGUGAUUUGUAGGUUUUAACCCCAUUGAGCCUUGUUAGCCUUCGUUAUUUGUUAACCCAUGUUUUCCUCACCUAGCCUAGUUUAGGACCAUCUAAACCCUUGUUCUUAAAGCAUAGUAAAGCAUGGUUCAAAUUGAAUUCCUUUUGAUUUAUGUUGGCAGAAAACUAGUGUGGGGGAAGUAUUUCUUUUGUGAUUUUGUGUGCCAUAGGCACGUGUGGAAAGAAAAGAAAAAAAAAAGAAAAGAAAAAAAUUCGUGGAAAAAGAAAAAAUGAAGAAAAAAAUAUGAAAAGUGUGACAAAGAGUUGAAAAGUUGAGAAAAAGAGUUCCAAAGUAUUGUUUGUUGAAGUAAGGGUCCAAAACAAUGAAUUCGGCCCUAAGGAGUUGUUUAAAUCUUUCCCUUUUGUUUUAAAGUUAAUUUCUGCACUCUAAGUGAAUUCUAAGUCUCAAUUUCAUUGCUUUGCUUACUAUUGCUUGAAGAACAUUUGUUUUCCUUAUCCUUUCCUUGUUAACCAACACCCCAAGCCCCAUUACAACCCUUAACUUCUAUCUUGAGUGUUAUGUGUUUCAAUUUGUGGAGUUUGAAUUUGGUAUGAGCAUAUGGUGUCACUGGUUCUCGCAUCUAAGUAGUAGCAUUCCAUUCAUGAGAUCAUAUCUAAACAUGCUUCUUAACUCUAGAAAUUGCGUUCUUUGUGAUACAUAUAUGUGAGCAUUCGUUUUCAUUUCUACAUCAAUCUUCUCACAUAUGACUAGUGUAGGGUGUGGAGUUAGAAAAUCUGAGUGAAAAUAGAGUGUAUAUCUUGUAAGGAAUUGAGGGAAUUCUCUAAGGCAUGUUACUACAUUCAAAGCAUUGUUUUGAUUGAUUACUUGUGAAUUAGUAAGUGGUGGCUUUAAUUAAGUAUGUGCUUGUGUAAAGAUGACUCAAAUCUGUGGGGAUAACAAUCUUUAACAUGUCAUGUGCAUUGGAAAUCCCUGAGGCAAACGUUGGAAGGUUUAGGUUUUGUUUUGGUUAGUUGGUUUCGUUCUGUUUCCUUUCUUUUGUUUGUUUUGCUCGAGGACUAGCAAAAGCUAAGUGUGGGGGAAUUUGAUAGGAGCAUAUUUAUGCGCCUUAGUUAGCUAGUUCUUAUGCAUCUUUGUUAUGUUUUCUUCGUUAAAGUAGUCUUUUAAGCUACUUUCUUGUGUUUUCAGGUUUAGCGGACGUAUUACAUGAAAUGAUGCAAUUUGGAGCUUUGGAGCAAAAAGUGAGCUUGAAUUGAAAAGGACAUGCUUGGAACGCAAGGUUGGGAUGGAAUUGAAGAGUUGAUGAUUUGAGGUUUCCUACUUGAAGUAGGAAAGUUAAGCCUAAAAGUUUCCAUUUUGGGUCGAUCUUUCCUAAAUCGGAAUUGGCAACCAAAGUUUCUAAAAGUUGGAAGUUUCUAUUCUUGGAGGUUUCCAUUUUCGAGAGUUUCUAUUCUUGGCGUUGGGCUUUUAGAUGACCUAAACCCAAAUUUCCUUGUGGACCUUCAACCCAUGCCGAACCCUAGGGCCUAAUCAUCUAAAAUCUGCCAUGUUAAACCCUAGUCCAUUUCUCCUAAACCCAAGCCGCACCUAACCCUAGCCCAUUGUUAAAAAUCUGAUUUCAUUAGGGUUUCUAAGUGCCUAUAUAUACCACCCUUACACCCUAGCCGCAUACAUCUUCCCCUCUCCACAAAAUCAGAAAAUCAUCUCUCCUUCUCCCCACCUUUUGCCGCAGCCACCAUCACCCAAAAUCCAUCCAUUCCAGCCGCCACUCAUCCAUUCCAGCAACCUACCCCCACUUUGCCGCACCACCAUACACCUCCCUUACCCUUUUCCGAACCACCAUAUCAUCCCAAAUCCAUCCCUAAAACGAAAUCACAUCCAAACAGCCCCUAAACCCUCACUGCCGCAGCAAGGAGAAGAAGAAAGAGGAGCUUUCUGUGCAGAUUUCAAAGUGGACUUCUUUGGCAUUUUAGGUGUAAUCUUUCUUAUGUCUUUCGAUGUUUCAAUUCAAAUAAACUUUGUGUUGUGAGUAUGAGGAACUAAACCCCCUUAGUUGGGGGGUGAUUCGAAACCAUGUACAUGCUUGCAAUUUGAUUCGAUUACAUUCAGUUGUUAUUUCAUGAGUUAUGGAUUCAAUUCGUUCAUCUAUUUGAUUGAUAACUUAUUUGUGUAUGUUGAUGAGAGUGCACGCUUAGUUUUCAUGCAUGAAUAUGAUGCUAGAUUAUGAGGGAGUUUCACCUAAUAGUUACAACCUUAUAAUCACAAGUAGUGAAGAUCGCUUGAAAUCGAUCGCGUUGAAUGAAUUCUUAGCAUAAGUUUCAUGCAAUUCAUAGUAACAAAUGCUUCGUCAAUGCUUAUGUUUUUCAUAGAACGUAAUGAUUCUUACUUGUAUCUCUAUUAUGCAAUUCAUGUAGGGAACUUGUAGGGAAUGUUUUGGGUUGUCGUAUGCAAUCAUCCAACUUAAUAACUUGUGGAAAAACUGAGGGUUAAUUAGUGCAAUUCACGGUUAACUUGGGGCGUUGAGUAUUCAUAGUUUAUCGGAAGAACAACUGAAAAAUCGUUCUGUUUGCAAGUGUGACAUGUGUGGAGAAGAACCUCCUAACUAGCCUUUUAACCAUCUAUUUCACCAAAAUCGUUUUUACAAUCUGUGUUAAUUAAAGUUUCUGUUUUGUUUUCAAUUUUCGUCCAAAACAAUUCCCCCUUUAUUUUGAAGUCUUAGAUUAGUUAGAAAGUGUUUUGAUUUGUGUUUCUAGGUGUUUUGAUUCAAGUUUUCAACCAAUUUCGUCCAGAUUAGUGUAAGUGCUCAAAACUGCCCAGAAAGUGGUUUUUAGGCAGUUUUGAGUCUUCUAGUUGCUGUUUUGGUUUUAAGGUUUGUUUAAGUGUUUUAACUUUUAGUUUUGCAUUCUUUGAGUCUAGUUUAGUGUUUUUAACUUUGUUUUUUAGUGUUUAAGUCAGUUUCCAAGCGUUUAGCAAUCCCUCCUAAUCCCCGGUCUAGAACGAUCCCUACUUACAUCUUUGCUACAAUUUGACAAAAAGAGGGUUUAAUUUGUGUGCUUAUCUAUUUCGCAUCAUACUCCUGCUAGAAAUUUACUUAACGCGAUUGUCACUAGGAACCUCCACUACUUGUAAAUAUAAGUUCAUAACUAUUAGGUGAAACUCCCUUAUAUUUUAGCAUCAAAUCCCUGCAUGCAAACUAAGUCGGCCUCCUUAAUCAACAUAUAAGAAUAAGUUAUCAAUCAAACAGAUAAGCAAAUUGCACUCACCAUUUAUGAAACAAUAACUAGUUGUAAUCAAUUCAUAUCACACAUAUGUUCAUGGCUUCGAAUUCCCCUCUAGCUAAAACGAAAUUAGUUCCACAUGUUUGCAAUCAAACAAAGACAACUGAAAUUAAACAUUGAAAACAAAAGAUAGAAUACACCUAUAAACGGUCCAGCAAUCUAAGGGUCUUGAAUGGCAGGCACGGCUCCAAGCUUCUUCUUCUCUUUCCUUGCAAAGCUGCAGUACAAGUGUGUUUUUCUCUUCUCUGAAUUUCUCUCUAAAGCUCUCUCUCUGAAAAUCCCCCCCCCCCCAAAAUCUGUGGCACAAUUAUGUUUAUAUAGGGUAGGGUUCAUGAUGAUAGGAGCAUUUUAUGGGACUUAGUUUGCUUGUUUUCUUGCAUUUCAUAGUUAGUUUCUGUUUAAAAGAGAUGGAGAAAUUAAUUCAAGACUUGGAAGAUAAGGAAUCAGCUCAAAAGAAGGAAACAUUAACUAAACCUUAUCUUAUCCAACAUUAUCCAAACUAACCUUAUCUUAUCUUAUCAUAUCCUAAUUCUAUUUCACCUUAAUUCCAGCUGCAAGGGGGAAUUAUUUUCAGAUUAGGACACUUAAAAACUUGUUCUAGAAGCCCUAGUCCUUUCCUAAUCCUUGCCGCACCACAUUACCCUUUCCUAAUCCUUGCCGCAACUCUACUUACCCUUUUUCUUAAAAUCUACCAAGUAUUCUUUCCUGAUUUCCUUGACUUUUGUUAGCUUUUUCUUGGGGACUUGGAAAGCUAAACCCUUCCCUAAAACAACAUCAAUGUUGUGUCCCUAACCCUAUAAAAGCCACUUUCUGCCGCACCAUACCAUUCCAUUCCAUCCACAUACUAUCCUAACCACUAUUCACCACCCAUGCCACAUACCAUCCCAUUCCAUCCAUACACCAUUACAACCACAACAUACAAAACCCAUUCACUACCAUUGAUACUUUCAGCCAUUCUUCCAUACAAUUCAUCACUCACACCUUGUACCGCAGCAAAGAAGAAGAAGGAGGACCCUUGGACGUGCUUGCCAUUCAAGUUUGGAUUGUUGGAACAUUCUUAGGUGUAAUCCAUCUUUGUUUUCAAUGUUUAAGUUUAAUUAUCUUUGUUUUGCGAACAUGAGGAGCUAAACUCGUUUUAGUAGGGGGAAAUUCAAAUCCAUGAAUAUAUUUGCAAUAUGAAUUGAUUCCUUUCAGUUGUGAUUUCAUAAAUCGUGAAUGCAAUAUACUUAACUGUUUGAUUCAGAACUUAUUCUUGUUUGUCGAUUAAGGAUGCAUACUUAGUUUGCAUGCAUGAAUUUGAUGCUAGAAUAUAAGGGAGUUUCACCUAAUCGUUAUGAACUUAUAUUCAUAAGUAGUUGAUAGGAGCAUAUUUAUGCGCCUUAGUUAGUUAGUUCUUAUGCAUUUAUGUUGUGUUUUCUUAGUUAAAUUAGU